GGCGCUAAUGUCAAAAUGUGCUAUUUCCCCCCGGCUGCCGGGGGGCGCUAGUGACAAAACUGUCUAUUUCCCCCCGGCCAGUAGGGGCGUUGGUGUUUAAAUAGCUAUUGCACACCUGAAUCAGUGAACACAAUCAGGUGGAUACUACGGGAAAAUACAGUACAGUAGUUGUUACUUCAAGCAGAGUCAACACUGACCGCUGCUUCAAGUAAAAGAAAACGACCAGUAAAAAAUAAAAUUAUGUAACAAGUAGCUUGCUUGCUUGUUAUUUAAUUUUAUUUCACCUGAUAUUUUAAUUUCGAUAAAAAGCAGUACCCAGUACUAAGAUAACAACUCACAGGCUUCGCAAAGGACACAGCGCCCUUUUUGCUGCCGGGGGGAAAUAGACAAUUUUGACACUAGCGCCCACCGGCUGCCGGGGGGAAAUAGAUUUUACCUAACAAUUAUGUGUCCAUUGCAGACGAUCCAUUAGAUUUUUCAAAUUACGUAAUAAAUUGUAUGACUUAAAACAUUACAUGCUCAAGAUUGUAAACAUGACAAACAGAGUAGCUGUUUGUUUGUUUCGUAAUGACCUAAGAUAUUAUGAUAAUGAGGUUCUGGCACAUGCACACAAAAAUACAGAUUACAUACUACCGCUUUAUUGUUUCGAUCCACGCCAUUUUGCAGGAACACACCACUAUGGUUUUCCAAAAACGGGAUCAUUCCGAACAAGAUUUCUCCUGGAAAGUGUUGAAGAUUUACGAAAGAAAUUGUUAAAACAUGGAAGCAACUUGAUGAUUGUUCAUGGAAAACCAGAAGAUGUUGUUAGCAAGAUUGUGAAAAAUCUGGUAGGAUUCAAGCUUACACUACUUUUACAUGCUGAGGUAACAAAAGAAGAAACUGACAUUGAAAAAAGUCUCCAGAAAGUGUGUCAAGAAAAUAAAGCAAGCUUUGUCAACAUUUGGGGAUCAACAUUGUACCACAAAGGAGAUCUGCCUUUUCAGAUCAGUAAGGUCCCUGAUGCAUAUACAGCUUUUCGAAAAGAUGUGGAAGAUCAGCUAAAAAUCCGCCCGGAAAUUUCAAUGCCAGAAAAGUUGAAGCCAGUUCCUUCUUUUCCAUCUGAAAUUUCUUGGGGAAAUCUCCCAUCUUAUGAAAUGCUUAAUUCCUCUGAGCCACUGUUAAAUCCCUCUUCAGCUUUCCCAUUCAGUGGAGGUGAAACAGCUGCAUUGCAAAGACUGAAGUCCUAUCUCUGGGACACAAAUGCUGUUGCCCAAUAUAAAGAAACAAGAAAUGGACUGAUUGGAUCUGACUAUUCAACAAAAUUCAGCCCUUGGCUGGCUCUUGGUUGCCUCAGCGCAAGAAAAAUUCAUUGGGAACUUGAGAAGUACGAGCAGCAGAGAACUAAAAAUCAGUCAACUUAUUGGGUUCGUUUCGAGCUGCUUUGGCGGGAUUAUUUCAAAUUUGUUUCGAUGAAAUAUGGAGACCGGAUAUUUUAUCCGAAUGGGAUGAAAGGCAAACGUCAAGAAUGGAAGAAAAACAUGGAACUAUUUAAGGCGUGGCAAGCGGGGAAAACGGGAGUACCGUUUGUAGACGCUAACAUGCGUGAACUAUUAGAAACUGGUUGGAUGUCAAAUAGAGGACGACAGAAUGUGGCCUCUUUUCUAGUUAAAGAUUUACACCUGGAUUGGCGCUUGGGCGCAGAGUGGUUUGAAUCUUUGCUGCUCGAUCACGACGUCUGCAGCAACUAUGGCAAUUGGAAUUAUGUAGCGGGUAUUGGAAAUGAUCCAAGAGAAAAUCGAAAAUUCAACAUGAUCAAACAAAGCAUGGAUUAUGAUCUCGAAGGGAACUUUAUCCGUAUGUGGGUUCCCGAGUUGAGAGAAAUACCAGGAUCAAAAAUUCACUCACCCUGGAUGCUCAGCUCAGGGGCCCUCUCUGCAGCGAACGUCCGACUCGGGCAAAAUUAUCCUAAUCCUGUUGUAGUUGCACCCGAAUGGAGUCGUCAUCAAAGGGAAGGAAAGGAGAGCGGCCAUGGCGGACGAGGUCACGGAAUUCCUAAAGGAGGGAAUCAGCGAGGGAUUGAUUUUUAUUUCAAGAAUCCUGGAACCAAAAAAUAAAAAGUACGUUUUCUUGUGGAAAUACUUAUCUGAAACACAUUCGAAAUGGCGAAGCACAGCUCUUUUUGAGUUUCAUCUUCCCAGCUGAGAAUCCUGCGAAUCGUCUCUUGGAGA
Molecule: unclassified non-coding RNA, 2207 nt
Filed under: Daphnia magna
Lineage: Eukaryota; Metazoa; Arthropoda; Branchiopoda; Diplostraca; Daphniidae
Description: cryptochrome DASH, transcript variant X2
Source: RNAcentral